GGAAGGUAGGGAGCAUGGUGCUCAAGCGGUCUUGAAAACCGUCCCACUGCGAGCGCGGUGAUGGUUCGAUUCCAUUACCUUCCGCCA
RNAcentral lists this transfer RNA (87 nucleotides) under Salmonella enterica subsp. enterica serovar Infantis. Its description in RNAcentral is "tRNA-Ser". It matches the Rfam family "tRNA". From Rfam's summary of the family: Transfer RNA (tRNA) molecules are approximately 80 nucleotides in length. Their secondary structure includes four short double-helical elements and three loops (D, anti-codon, and T loops). RNAcentral also lists the same sequence under 18 other names. Lineage: Bacteria; Pseudomonadati; Pseudomonadota; Gammaproteobacteria; Enterobacterales; Enterobacteriaceae. The record is from RNAcentral.